AGAUGGCAAAGACCGACGCGAAAGAUGCUCGGAGUUGGAAGGGGCACCGAUGGAGUGGCUGAGUGGCUAAGCUCUCAGGCGAAAGAAGGAUGUCGUGAAGCCCCUGGAGGAAAGGUGGGGGCUUAAAUAGGCAACGGGGCCUGGCGCAGUUAUGGUGGUAGGUGUCCCUUGGCCAGCCAGUGCCCACCACGUGUCCCACAUGUCCCAC
This 208-nucleotide long non-coding RNA is filed under the name Elaeis guineensis (African oil palm). RNAcentral describes it as "long non-coding RNA (EGUI_LNC077249)". The record is from RNAcentral. Lineage: Eukaryota; Viridiplantae; Streptophyta; Magnoliopsida; Arecales; Arecaceae.